Diabrotica virgifera virgifera (western corn rootworm) is the source of this 70-nucleotide small nucleolar RNA. NCBI's taxonomy places the organism in Eukaryota, Metazoa, Arthropoda, Insecta, Coleoptera, Chrysomelidae. The record is from RefSeq and is a predicted model, not a curated record.
AUAAAGUAUGAUGAGUUCUUUACCGCCCCAGGCUGAUACAACUAUGAAUGAUUGGUUGAUCUGAUAUUGU